Molecule: ribosomal RNA, 512 nt
Filed under: uncultured bacterium
Lineage: Bacteria
Description: bacterial SSU rRNA
Rfam family: Bacterial small subunit ribosomal RNA
Source: RNAcentral
ACCUAAUAGAUACCCCGGUAGUCCACGCCCUAAACGAUGCGAACUGGAUGUUGGGUACAUUACGGUACUCAGUGUCGAGGCUAAACGCGUUAAGUUCGCCGCCUGGGGAGUACGGUCGCAAGACUGAAACUCAAAGGAAUUGACGGGGGCCCGCACAAGCGGUGGAGUAUGUGGUUUAAUUCGAUGCAACGCGAAGAACCUUACCUGGCCUUGACAUCUGUCGAAUCCUGCAGAGAUGCGGGAGUGCCGCAAGGAACGACAAGACAGGUGCUGCAUGGCUGUCGUCAGCUCGUGUCGUGAGAUGUUGGGUUAAGUCCCGCAACGAGCGCAACCCUUGUCCCUAGUUGCCAGCACGUAAUGGUGGGAACUCUAGGGAGACUGCCGGUGACAAACCGGAGGAAGGUGGGGUAUGACGUCAAGUCCUCAUGGCCCUUACGGCCAGGGCUACACACGUACUACAAUGGUCGGUACAGAGGGUUGCGAAGCCGCGAGGUGAAGCCAAUCCCAGAAAA